GUUGUCACGCCGGUACGAACGGAUUACUUUGAUGGAGUAAAAAAUGAGAAUAAUUCUCUGACACCU
This 66-nucleotide transfer RNA is filed under the name Pseudocuneopsis capitata. RNAcentral's name for it is "tRNA-Ile". Lineage: Eukaryota; Metazoa; Mollusca; Bivalvia; Unionida; Unionidae. The record is from RNAcentral.